This 409-nucleotide ribosomal RNA is filed under the name Microhyla berdmorei (Pegu rice frog). RNAcentral's name for it is "partial 16S ribosomal RNA". It matches the Rfam family "Bacterial large subunit ribosomal RNA", at positions 1835 to 2459 of the family's 2925-position model. Lineage: Eukaryota; Metazoa; Chordata; Amphibia; Anura; Microhylidae. The record is from RNAcentral.
CUUGCUAACUAUAAGAGGUCCAGCCUGCCCAGUGACAAAGUUAAACGGCCGCGGUACCCUAACCGUGCAAAGGUAGCGCAAUCACUUGUUCUUUAAAUGAGGACUAGUAUGAACGGCAUCACGAGGGUUAUACUGUCUCCCCCCUUUUUUCAGUGAAACUGAUCUUCCCGUGAAGAAGCGGGAAUAUUAAUAUAAGACGAGAAGACCCCAUGGAGCUUUAAACUCAGAAUCAACUGCCACAAACUUAACCUAAUAACCAUGCAGAAAUGACUUCUAGUUUUCGGUUGGGGUGACCGCGGAGUAAAAUAAAACCUCCACGACGAAAGGAACUAACCACCUAAACCAAGAGCCACAGCUCUAAGUAUUAAAACAUUAACCUAAUUGAUCCAAUUACUUGAUCAACGAACCA